UGUAGGAUCAUCUCUCCAUCCCUCAGCCUCUUGCUCUCCUCAAGAUCCUACAUAGAAGUGCACAAAUGAGCACUAGAACCACAAUCAAGCACCCAACUGGAUGCAGAAGAAAUCGUAAGAUUAGACUCUAAAACGAGCAUACCUUUAGAAGGACCGUCCUUCUUGUUCUUCAGGAUGGCCAGGUACUGAGGACAGUUUUGCUUCCAAUGGCCGUC
Molecule: long non-coding RNA, 215 nt
Filed under: Elaeis guineensis (African oil palm)
Lineage: Eukaryota; Viridiplantae; Streptophyta; Magnoliopsida; Arecales; Arecaceae
Description: long non-coding RNA (EGUI_LNC075086)
Source: RNAcentral